Molecule: ribosomal RNA, 517 nt
Filed under: Celes akitanus
Lineage: Eukaryota; Metazoa; Arthropoda; Insecta; Orthoptera; Acrididae
Description: partial 16S ribosomal RNA
Rfam family: Archaeal large subunit ribosomal RNA
Source: RNAcentral
CGCCCUGUUUUACAAAACAUGUCUUCUGAUGAUAUUCUGAAGUCUGACCUGCUCACUGAUUAAAUUUGAAGAGCCGCGGUAUUUUGACCGUGCAAAGGUAGCAUAAUCAUUAGUUUCUUAAUUAGGGGCUUGAAUGAAUGGUUUAACGAGAAAUUAACUGUCUCUUAAUAAAUUUUAGAAUUUAACUUUUAAGUUAAAAGGCUUAAAUAUUUCUUUAGGACGAGAAGACCCUAUAGAGCUUGACAUUUAAAAAUUUUAUAUUAUUUUAGUUUAUCUUUUUAUAUAGUUUUUUAAUGUUUGGUUGGGGUGACAUGAAGAAUAAUUAAACUCUUCAUUAUGAAAUCAUUUAUUUAUGUUUAUUUGAUCCAUAAUUUAUGAUCAAAAGAUUAAGUUACCUUAGGGAUAACAGCGUAAUCAUUUUUAAGAGUUCUUAUCGACAAAAUGGAUUGCGACCUCGAUGUUGGAUUAAGAUUAAUUUUAGGUGUAGUACUUAAUAAGUUAGUCUGUUCGACCUUAA